ACGGCGUGCCUUUUGCAUAAUGAGCCUACGAGUUACUUUAACUAGCGAGGUUAAGGCCUUCAGGGCCGGAUCCGUAGCGAAAGCGAGUCUGAAUAGGGCACAAUAGUAUGUUGAUGUAAACCCGAAACCAAGUGACCUACCCAUGUCCAGGUUGAAGGUGCGGUAAAACGCACUGGAGGACCGAACCCGUGUAUGUUGAAAAAUGCUGGGAUGAGGUGUGGGUAGAGGUGAAAUUCCAAACGAACUUGGAGAUAGCUGG
Molecule: ribosomal RNA, 259 nt
Filed under: Chaetoceros curvisetus
Lineage: Eukaryota; Bacillariophyta; Thalassiosirophyceae; Chaetocerotales; Chaetocerotaceae
Description: partial Bacterial large subunit ribosomal RNA
Rfam family: Bacterial large subunit ribosomal RNA
Source: RNAcentral